RNAcentral lists this ribosomal RNA (469 nucleotides) under uncultured bacterium. Its description in RNAcentral is "bacterial SSU rRNA". It matches the Rfam family "Bacterial small subunit ribosomal RNA", at positions 355 to 839 of the family's 1533-position model. The record is from RNAcentral.
UGGGGAAUCUUGGACAAUGGGGGCAACCCUGAUCCAGCCAUGCCGCGUGAGUGAUGAAGGCCUUAGGGUCGUAAAGCUCUUUCGCCUGUGAAGAUAAUGACGGUACCUAGUAAAGAAGUCCCGGCUAACUCCGUGCCAGCAGCCGCGGUAAUACGGAGGGGGACUAGCGUUGUUCGGAAUUACUGGGCGUAAAGAGUUCGUAGGCGGACUAGCAAGUUAGAGGUGAAAUCCCUCGGCUCAACCGGGGAACUGCCUUUGAAACUGUCUGGCUAGAGUUCGGGAGAGGGUAGGGGGAAUUCCUAGUGUAGCGGUGAAAUGCGUAGAUAUUAGGAGGAACACCAGUGGCGAAGGCGCCUACCUGGACCGAUACUGACGCUGAGGUGCGAAAGCGUGGGGAAGCAACAGGAUUAGAUACCCUGGUAGUCCACGCUGUAAACGAUGGUCACUCGGUGCUGCGGGUAUCGACCCC